AGAAGCUUGCUUCUCUUGAGAGCGGCGGACGGGUGAGUAAAGCCUAGGAAUCUGCCUGGUAGUGGGGGAUAACGUUCGGAAACGGACGCUAAUACCGCAUACGUAGCUACGGGAGAAAGCAGGGGACCUUCGGGCCUUGCGCUAUCAGAUGAGCCUAGGUCGGAUUAGCUAGUUGGUGAGGUAACGGCUCACCAAGGCGACGAUCCGUAACUGGUCUGAGAGGAUGAUCAGUCACACUGGAACUGAGACACGGUCCAGACUCCUACGGGAGGCAGCAGUGGGGAAUAUUGGACAAUGGGCGAAAGCCUGAUCCAGCCAUGCCGCGUGUGUGAAGAAGGUCUUCGGAUUGUAAAGCACUUUAAGUUGGGAGGAAGGGCAUUAACCUAAUACGUUAGUGUUUUGACGUUACCGACAG
Molecule: ribosomal RNA, 415 nt
Filed under: uncultured Pseudomonas sp.
Lineage: Bacteria; Pseudomonadati; Pseudomonadota; Gammaproteobacteria; Pseudomonadales; Pseudomonadaceae
Description: bacterial SSU rRNA
Rfam family: Bacterial small subunit ribosomal RNA
Source: RNAcentral